CAGGGUGGUUACCUACAACUGAUGAGCUCCAAGAAGAGCGAAACCUUUUAAGACGAGUCCUGUAGUAUCGGCCUACCAACCU
Molecule: non-coding RNA, 82 nt
Filed under: Cuculus canorus (common cuckoo)
Lineage: Eukaryota; Metazoa; Chordata; Aves; Cuculiformes; Cuculidae
Source: RNAcentral